UGGGGAAUUUUUGGACAAUGGGCGAAAGCCUGAUCCAGCAAUGCCGCGUGUGUGAAGAAGGCCUUCGGGUUGUAAAGCACUUUUGUCCGGAAAGAAAUCCUUGGCUCUAAUACAGUCGGGGGAUGACGGUACCGGAAGAAUAAGCACCGGCUAACUACGUGCCAGCAGCCGCGGUAAUACGUAGGGUGCAAGCGUUAAUCGGAAUUACUGGGCGUAAAGCGUGCGCAGGCGGUUUGCUAAGACCGAUGUGAAAUCCCCGGGCUCAACCUGGGAACUGCAUUGGUGACUGGCAGGCUAGAGUAUGGCAGAGGGGGGUUAGAAUUCCACGUGUAGCAGUGAAAUGCGUAGAGAUGUGGAGGAAUACCGAUGGCGAAGGCAGCCCCCUGGGCCAAUACUGACGCUCAUGCACGAAAGCGUGGGGGAGCAAAACAGGAUUAGAUACCCUGGUAGUCCACGCCCUAAACGAUGUCAACUAGUUGUUGGGGAUUCAUUUCCUUAGUAACGUAGCUAACGCGUGAAGUUGACCGCCUGGGGAGUACGGUCGCAAGAUU
This 551-nucleotide ribosomal RNA is filed under the name uncultured bacterium. RNAcentral's name for it is "partial 16S ribosomal RNA". It matches the Rfam family "Bacterial small subunit ribosomal RNA", at positions 355 to 895 of the family's 1533-position model. The record is from RNAcentral.